Molecule: ribosomal RNA, 118 nt
Filed under: Lepisosteus oculatus (spotted gar)
Lineage: Eukaryota; Metazoa; Chordata; Actinopteri; Semionotiformes; Lepisosteidae
Source: RNAcentral
GCCAGCAGCUAUAUCACCCUGCAGCUCACAUCUGACAACCUACUCGUACUAAGCAGAUGUGAGCCUGGCCAGUACCUGAAUGGGAGACCUCCUGGGAAAGUUAAGGUUGCUGCUAGAA